AGUGAACGCUGGCGGUAGGCCCAACACAUGCAAGUCGAACGGCAGCACAGUAAGAGCUUGCUCUUACGGGUGGCGAGUGGCGGACGGGUGAGGAAUACAUCGGAAUCUACUUUUUCGUGGGGGAUAACGUAGGGAAACUUACGCUAAUACCGCAUACGACCUACGGGUGAAAGCAGGGGAUCUUCGGACCUUGCGCGAUUGAAUGAGCGAUGUCGGAUUAGCUAGUUGGCGGGGUAAAGGCCCACCAAGGCGACGAUCCGUAGCUGGUCUGAGAGGAUGAUCAGCCACACUGGAACUGGGACACGGUCCAGACUCCUACGGGAGGCAGCAGUGGCGAAUAUUGGACAAUGGGCGCAAGCCUGAUACAGCCAUCCCGCGUGGGUGAAGAAGGCCUUCGGGUUGUAAAGCCCUUUUGUUGGGAAAGAACAGCAGCAGGUUAAUACCCCGCUGUUCUGACGGUACCCAAAGAAUAAGCACCGGCUAACUUCGUG
RNAcentral lists this ribosomal RNA (491 nucleotides) under uncultured bacterium. RNAcentral describes it as "partial 16S ribosomal RNA". It matches the Rfam family "Bacterial small subunit ribosomal RNA", at positions 29 to 507 of the family's 1533-position model. The record is from RNAcentral.